ACCUCUGGGCAGAGAAACAAAGCUCUAUAUGCACAGCCCAGCAAAGAGCAGCACACAGCUGAAAGAAAAACUCAGAAGACAGAGCUGAAAAAGAAAACUGGUGAUGGAUCUCAUUCCAAACUUUGCCAUGGAAACAUGGGUUCUUGUGGCUACCAGCCUGGUACUCCUCUAUAUUUAUGGGACCCAUUCACAUAAACUUUUUAAGAAGCUGGGAAUUCCUGGGCCAACCCCUCUGCCUUUUCUGGGAACUAUUUUGUUCUACCUUAGGGGUCUUUGGAAUUUUGACAGAGAAUGUAAUGAAAAAUACGGAGAAAUGUGGGGGCUGUAUGAGGGGCAACAGCCCAUGCUGGUCAUCAUGGAUCCCGACAUGAUCAAAACAGUGUUAGUGAAAGAAUGUUACUCUGUCUUCACAAACCAGAUGCCUUUAGGUCCAAUGGGAUUUCUGAAAAGUGCCUUAAGUUUUGCUGAAGAUGAAGAAUGGAAGAGAAUACGAACAUUGCUAUCUCCAGCUUUCACCAGUGUAAAAUUCAAGGAAAUGGUCCCCAUCAUUUCCCAAUGUGGAGAUAUGUUGGUGAGAAGCCUGAGGCAGGAAGCAGAGAACAGCAAGUCCAUCAACUUGAAAGAUUUCUUUGGGGCCUACACCAUGGAUGUAAUCACUGGCACAUUAUUUGGAGUGAACUUGGAUUCUCUCAACAAUCCACAAGAUCCCUUUCUGAAAAAUAUGAAGAAGCUUUUAAAAUUGGAUUUUUUGGAUCCCUUUUUACUCUUAAUAUACAGAGUCUCGCUGUGUUGCCUAGGCCGGAGUGCAUGGUGCGAUCUGGGCUCACUGAAACCUCCACCUCCUGGGUUCGAGUGAUUCUCCUGCCUCAGCCUCCUGAGGAGCUGGGAUUACAGCACUCUUUCCAUUUCUUACCCCAGUUUUUGAAGCCCUAAAUAUCGGUUUGUUUCCAAAAGAUGUUACCCAUUUUUUAAAAAAUUCCAUUGAAAGGAUGAAAGAAAGUCGCCUCAAAGAUAAACAAAAGCAUCGAGUAGAUUUCUUUCAACAGAUGAUCGACUCCCAGAAUUCCAAAGAAACAAAGUCCCAUAAAGCUCUGUCUGAUCUGGAGCUUGUGGCCCAGUCAAUUAUCAUCAUUUUUGCUGCCUAUGACACAACUAGCACCACUCUCCCCUUCAUUAUGUAUGAACUGGCCACUCACCCUGAUGUCCAGCAGAAACUGCAGGAGGAGAUUGACGCAGUUUUACCCAAUAAGGCACCUGUCACCUACGAUGCCCUGGUACAGAUGGAGUACCUUGACAUGGUGGUGAAUGAAACGCUCAGAUUAUUCCCAGUUGUUAGUAGAGUUACGAGAGUCUGCAAGAAAGAUAUUGAAAUCAAUGGAGUGUUCAUUCCCAAAGGGUUAGCAGUGAUGGUUCCAAUCUAUGCUCUUCACCAUGACCCAAAGUACUGGACAGAGCCUGAGAAGUUCUGCCCUGAAAGGUUCAGUAAGAAGAACAAGGACAGCAUAGAUCUUUACAGAUACAUACCUUUUGGAGCUGGACCCCGAAACUGCAUUGGCAUGAGGUUUGCUCUCACAAACAUAAAACUUGCUGUCAUUAGAGCACUGCAGAACUUCUCCUUCAAACCUUGUAAAGAGACUCAGAUCCCACUGAAAUUAGACAAUCUACCAAUUCUUCAACCAGAAAAACCUAUUGUUCUAAAAGUGCACUUAAGAGAUGGGAUUACAAGUGGACCCUGACUUUCCCUAAGGACUUCCACUUUGUUCAAGAAAGCUGUAUCCCAGAACACUAGACACUUCAAAUUGUUUUGUGAAUAAAACUCAGAAAUGAA
Molecule: RNA transcript, 1828 nt
Organism: Homo sapiens (human)
Lineage: Eukaryota; Metazoa; Chordata; Mammalia; Primates; Hominidae
Gene: CYP3A43
Gene name: cytochrome P450 family 3 subfamily A member 43
Exons: 14
Source: RefSeq, marked reviewed